Molecule: ribosomal RNA, 497 nt
Filed under: uncultured bacterium
Lineage: Bacteria
Description: partial 16S ribosomal RNA
Rfam family: Bacterial small subunit ribosomal RNA
Source: RNAcentral
GAUGAACGCUGGCGGCGUGCCUAAUACAUGCAAGUCGAGCGAACAGACGAGGAGCUUGCUCCUCCGACGUUAGCGGCGGACGGGUGAGUAACACGUGGAUAACCUACCUAUAAGACUGGGAUAACUUCGGGUAACCGGAGCUAAUACCGGAUAAUAUAUUGAACCGCAUGGUUCAAUAGUGAAAGACGGUUUUGCUGUCACUUAUAGAUGGAUCCGCGCCGCAUUAGCUAGUUGGUAAGGUAACGGCUUACCAAGGCGACGAUGCGUAGCCGACCUGAGAGGGUGAUCGGCCACACUGGAACUGAGACACGGUCCAGACUCCUACGGGAGGCAGCAGUAGGGAAUCUUCCGCAAUGGGCGAAAGCCUGACGGAGCAACGCCGCGUGAGUGAUGAAGGUCUUCGGAUCGUAAAACUCUGUUAUUAGGGAAGAACAAAUGUGUAAGUAACUAUGCACGUCUUGACGGUACCUAAUCAGAAAGCCACGGCUAACUACGUG